This 497-nucleotide ribosomal RNA is filed under the name uncultured bacterium. RNAcentral describes it as "partial 16S ribosomal RNA". It matches the Rfam family "Bacterial small subunit ribosomal RNA", at positions 28 to 507 of the family's 1533-position model. The record is from RNAcentral.
GAUGAACGCUGGCGGCGUGCUUAAUACAUGCAAGUCGAGCGAACGGACGAGAAGCUUGCUUCUCUGAUGUUAGCGUCGGAAGGGUGAGUAACACGUGGAUAUACUACCUAUUUGACUGGGGUAACUUCGGGAAACAGGAGCUAAUACCGGUUAAUUUUUUGAUGCGCAUGGUUCAAAAGUGAAAGAAGGUCUUGCUGUUAUUUAUAGAUGGAUCCGCGCUGCAUUGGCUAGUUGGUGAGGUAAGGGCUUAACAAGGCAACGAUGGAUAGCCGACGUGAGAGGGUGAUCGGCCACACUCGAUCUGAGACGCGCUCCAAACCCCUACAGAAGGCAGCAGUAGGGAAUCGUCCGCGAUGUGGCAAAGCCUGACGGAGCAACACCGAGUGAGGGAGGAAGGUCUUCGGAUCGUUAAACUCUGUUAUCAUGGAAGAACAUAUAUGAAAGUUACUGUUCACAGCGUGACGGUUACUAAUCAGAAAGCCACGGCUAACUACGUG